GCCGAAGUGGCGGAAUCGGUAGACGCGGCGGACUCAAAAUCCGUUUCUGGCGACAGAGUGGGGGUUCGAGUCCCCCCUUCGGCACCA
This 87-nucleotide transfer RNA is filed under the name Lysobacteraceae bacterium SCN 69-123. RNAcentral describes it as "Xanthomonadaceae bacterium SCN 69-123 tRNA-Leu". It matches the Rfam family "tRNA". Rfam says of the family: Transfer RNA (tRNA) molecules are approximately 80 nucleotides in length. Their secondary structure includes four short double-helical elements and three loops (D, anti-codon, and T loops). The record is from RNAcentral. Lineage: Bacteria; Pseudomonadati; Pseudomonadota; Gammaproteobacteria; Lysobacterales; Lysobacteraceae. RNAcentral also lists the same sequence under 2 other names.